This 999-nucleotide ribosomal RNA is filed under the name uncultured organism. Its description in RNAcentral is "bacterial SSU rRNA". It matches the Rfam family "Bacterial small subunit ribosomal RNA", at positions 355 to 1375 of the family's 1533-position model. The record is from RNAcentral.
UGGGGAAUAUUGCACAAUGGAGGAAACUCUGAUGCAGCGAUGCCGCGUGAGGGAAGAAGGUUUUAGGAUUGUAAACCUCUGUCUUCAGGGACGAAAAAAGGACGGUACCUGAGGAGGAAGCUCCGGCUAACUACGUGCCAGCAGCCGCGGUAAUACGUAGGGAGCGAGCGUUGUCCGGAAUUACUGGGUGUAAAGGGAGCGUAGGCGGGAUCGCAAGUCAGAUGUGAAAACUAUGGGCUUAACCCAUAAACUGCAUUUGAAACUGUGGUUCUUGAGUGAAGUAGAGGUAAGCGGAAUUCCUAGUGUAGCGGUGAAAUGCGUAGAUAUUAGGAGGAACAUCAGUGGCGAAGGCGGCUUACUGGGCUUUAACUGACGCUGAGGCUCGAAAGCGUGGGGAGCAAACAGGAUUAGAUACCCUGGUAGUCCACGCCGUAAACGAUGAUUACUAGGUGUGGGGGGACUGACCCCUUCCGUGCCGCAGCAAACGCAAUAAGUAAUCCACCUGGGGAGUACGACCGCAAGGUUGAAACUCAAAGGAAUUGACGGGGGCCCGCACAAGCAGUGGAGUAUGUGGAUUAAUUCGAAGCAACGCGAAGAACCUUACCAGGUCUUGACAUCGUAUGCAUAGCUCAGAGAUGAGUGAAAUCUCUUCGGAGACAUAUAGACAGGUGGUGCAUGGUUGUCGUCAGCUCGUGUCGUGAGAUGUUGGGUUAAGUCCCGCAACAAGCGCAACCCUUACUGUUAGUUGCUACGCAAGAGCACUCUAGCAGGACUGCCGUUGACAAAACGGAGGAAGGUGGGGAUGACGUCAAAUCAUCAUGCCCCUUAUGACCUGGGCCUCACACGUACUACAAUGGCUGUAAACAGAGGGAAGCAAAGCCGCGAGGUAGAGCGAACCCCUAAAAGCAGUCUUAGUUCGGAUUGUAGGCUGCAACCCGCCUACAUGAAGUCGGAAUUGCUAGUAAUCGCAGAUCAGCAUGCUGCGGUGAAUACGUUCCC